CACCUUAUCCAUCCAGCACGCCCCCUCCAUAAAAUUCAUUCAGCGCCGGUUUCUUCCUUCUUGACGGCCACUGGAGUUCUGCAGAGGCCAUGAGAAAACCGUGCUCGGUUCGCUUGCCUCUGAGAUGACGAACUGGCAGUUCAGUUGACCCUUCGCAGCACAAGCCAGAUUAGAAAUGGGAUUACAUGCCGUAGCGCUGACGGCGAGACCUGCACUGCGCCGGGGCGUGGACGUCGAGGCGGCCUGGAUGUAGACGUCUCCGUAGACCUCAGUCUACUUGCUUGCCACCGUGCACUGUAUGUAUGCACCAUUGAUCUAUACCAGCAUCCGUGUUGGUUUUAGUUCCGACGUAAACUGGAUGCAUUUUUUUUUCUUUUUGGUCGGAGUCGUCUCUUGACUUCUGAAUUCUGAUGAGGCCAGAGAUUCUCGGGGCAGGUGACAGGUGAGGACAAGGCAAGCGGGAAAAACAAAAAAGAAAUGCAAUGGCGUCAUGAUGCUGUUUUAUAGCCGUUGUGGGCUUGUUGUUGUGCUAAAAGGGCAGCACAGCGCAGUCUGUGUCAGAUGCUCGUAGCAUGAAAGAAAGAAAAUGACGAGCGGAUAAAGUCAGAAGAAAUUACGUCGCAUGCUGUUGAAAUCACUCGUCGUUAGGCGUUUCAUCGUAUACUUCACAGUUCAAGAGCGUUUAGAAACAUGGCAUGAAUUUUGAAGCUCUGAACACAGGUCGGCACUGCGGCGGAUUCAAAUGCAUACGAGCAUCUGGCAUCAGAGAGAACAGAAUGAUCGCUACAAGUGAGUUUACAGAUGUUUUACUUCUGUCUACACAAUGCCACCAUCACAUUUUUUUCCCCACACGGACACAGGCUGAAUCAUGAAUGAAGCUUUACUGCAAGAGACUUUGGGGGCGGGUGAAGAACGAAGGAAGAACCAUAUGAUCUAACGAUCAUCAGUUACAAUUGUCUUGCAAGCAAAAGAAUAAAUAACACAUUAACAACUAGCACACACUCCCCUACCACUAUGUCAUCCAUCAUCACCACCACCACCAUGAUGCAUCAAACGGGCGAAGCACUGGGAUCCAUCAACAGUGUCACUGAAACACGGCCAAAGAAACAAGAAAAAAAAGAGAGAACAAAUCCUUCUCACAAGCACAACCUCCACAGGACGCAAUCCUUUUCUCCCCCACCUCCCAGGAAUUCACUGUCACGAAUAGUCAUCAUCAUACCCUCCCCCUGCUCUCGCCAGAAUCAGCGACGGCGCUACCCAUGCCCUCGCCCUUCUCCAUCCCGAGACCGCCCAUCCUCUUCUCGUCGUCCAUCCCCUUGAGGUGCCCGGCCGCCUUCAGCGCCCCGAUGUUGCUGACGUUGCCGAAGAUCAGCACGAUGAUGCCCAGGAAGCUCCCGAGGAACGCAGCAGCAAAGGACCCUCCCGCGCGCCCAGGGCCAGCGGAGGAGGCAGCGAAGCCGAUCAUGGCACCGGUGACACGAACAAACGCGUACCAGACCGAGAACGCACCCUCCUUCCCCGGCGGCGAGGCAUCGAGGAGCAGGAUGCGGCCGAACGCGUACAGUAUGCCAUUGGCGGUGCUCUGGACCAGGGCGAUGACGAUGAUGUGGGCAGCCCUCCACCUGUGGCUCUUGAAGUAGAACCCGGCACCGGACACGAACAGGCAGAUUAUGAACCCGAGCAGCUGCAUGCGCACGGCGUCCGCGCGGAUUAUGAUCUGGAUCGGGUGGAGGAGCGGGAGCGAGAUCAAGGGGAACAGAAAGUAGAGGAUCCAUAGCGCAAGCACGAGCACCGGCUUGAUGCAGACACCACCGAUAGCAUAGAGCGUGCCGCUGGUGAAGAUGCACAUUGUGGCGAAAGAGGACAGGAACACCGCAACCAGGCUGCCAAUGGCCUGCGGGUAACGGAGGAGGGUCAUGCUGUAGCUGAGCUUGGUGAAGAAGUUGGGCUCGAAUGCGGUGGUGGGUGACGAGCUGCUGGGCCUGUUUGUGAAGAGGCCAUGGCAGAUGCCGAUGAACCAGAUAAGGCCACAGAAGAUGGACACGACCCAGAGGCCAGUGAGCUGGUCAGUGCGCCGCAGCAUGUGGUACAUGAAAGCUGCCAUGAGGGCAGCUCCAAUGCCUCCUAUGGCAGUGCAGUACAGGCUGAGCUGGCUGGCAGCAGCGCGGCGGCGAAGGACAAGGUGCUUGCCCGAGUCAUGCGCAGCCAGGCCACGGAUCAUCAGCCCAAGGUUGCGGGUGUGCACCGCCUCAGCGACGAUGAUCGAGCCAGCGAUGAAGAGGAUGUAGAACAGGAACACCCAGACCGUCUUGAAGAAGCCUGUUAGCAGGCAGAAGAAGGACCCGAAGGACGUGGCGGCAAUGAGGAUCAGCGACUGGUACUGGCCACGGUCGAGAUGGUGAGCGGUCUGGGUGAGGAGCGGCGCCACGAUGAGGAUGCCGAUUGCCCACGACAGUCCACUCCAGCCCAAUGGUGACAUCCGGGAUCCAUCGAUCACAAUGGAGUGCUUGGUAAGCCUCUGGUACCUGGACAAUGAGUAAAUCUGGAGUGAGCAUCAUGUAUGUUUGGCUGCAUGACGUGAACUCUGAAUGGUAGAUGCAAGAGAAUGGACAGAAAUGCAAAUAUAAAAUUUUACAGACUAGUAGUAUAGAUUAACAGAUUAAGAAACAACGUUUGUGAGUUGGGGCGUCAAUAUACACGCAUUUAAGAAUCAACAAUCCCCUCCCCCUUUGCAAUCAAGAGCAGUUAGUUGGCCUGGUGCAUUUUUAAGGAUGCCUUGCUGUAGCACCUACCAGUUGGCUGGACCUGCAGUUGGCCACCAACAGUUUAUUGGGGGUUAAAAGCAGAGAGCGGUCAUGUAAUUGCAAGCAACGGCUCUUUUCCUGUUCAAAAGGGAAAGGGGCCAAAGACCAAAGAGAAGGCAGCAAAGCAUGGACCUGCUUUUUUUGUGCUCUCUUUUUCUCUCGGUUCCAUCAAAAGUGAGACAAGCAAUGUACCCCUCCCCUCUAUGCCAGCUAGAUCUAUCAGCCAACAGAUGCGUAGAUUGCAAAAAGAAAAUUACUGCUAGGAUGAGUAGUAAAUGCAAAAAAAAUGUGGUGAGCAUUGCAUCCCCUCACAAUUCUGAUGCGACGGCUAGAAGCUAUCUGAAAUAUGGUUCAGGGUUUUUCUGCGCAAUUUAAUGAGACGCACAGCACAGGCUUCCUCUUGGCACCUCAUAAAUUCCUCUGCCCCUUUCCCAUCUCAGCAGUACCCCCCAUUUCAAUUUCACCACAACGUUGCCAAAGAUUUUAAAUAAAUUUUACAGACACACCCCUAGGAACUGUUUGUUUGACCUUAUCCUCCCAAGAAAUACUGUGACCAUCCUCAUCUGAUGACAAUGACAAAAAAAUCCAAUGUGUCCAUGUCUAGAGAAAAAUAAGAAUAAUAACAGAAAAAAAGAGAGAUGGGUGGGUAUGAUAUGCGUCGCUAAUCUGCUAGUACUCUCAGCUAGAUAGGACGAAACAGUAGCAUCUUUUGGAGCUUUGCUCCUGAAUCUCUUAUCUGCUACCAAUAAUUGACACCACGGAAACAAGGAAUCUCUGAGGAAUCAGGGUCCUUUUUUUCUUUUAGGUUUUCUUCUCUUCUGCAUAUACAAGAUAUAUCGACUAAGCCAUGAAAAAUCUAGUCUUUUUUCUUCGAUUGAGCUUCUUCUUCACGUUUAGGGCACGGGGUAGGUAAAUAGCCUCGGCAGAAGAUGGAAGAGCAGCCAUGUUCAACAUCACAAGAUGAAUAGGACCAACAAAAACAAAGCUGGGAGAAAAGCAAAAAAAGCUUGUUUUCUUGGAGUGAAGGGUGUAACGUAUGCUUCCUUGUUUGCUAAACAAAACAAGAUGUGUUUUUAAGAAGGCAUCAGGUGGGGAAACCCCAAAACAAGACACCAGCUUAGAGCUCUUACCGCUUAGACAAGAGAGGGAAGUGGGUAAACACUACACACAGGAGAAGAAGAAAAUAAAAGGAAAACUCACUACAGUAGCUCAAAGUUUGAAAAAAAAGAGGUAGAAAUAAAUCUGGAGAACACAUCUGGCUUGUUCAGUAACCCAUGGUUCUUGGACAACGGAAAAGAGACAGAAAAAAUACAGUAAGAAAGAAACAAAUCACUAAACCUCCGAAAAAAUACAGUAAGAAACAACACAAACAAAUCACUAAACCUCCUAGAAACAAACAAAAACACCGUCUAGCCUCCCCCUAAAAAGAAAAAAAUAACUCAAAAAAGGGAUGGCGCGAAAAGAGAGAAAUAAAGGUUGUGAAAUAAAGGGAAAACCACAAGAUUUAAGGAAGCAGGGCGGGGGAGGGAGGAGUGUGCUGCGUGUCUUACAUGGACAUCUCGUGGACGGAGCAGGUGACGCCCUUGAGGGUGUACUUGGGGUCGGGCGUGAAGUCGGAGUUGGGGAAGGCGACCUGCGUGAUGAUGGCCGGGAAGAGGACCGGCAGCAGCAGGUGGGUGAUGAAGUAGGAGCAGAAGCCGUAGAUGUACCAGCCGACGAGCUCGACCACGGCCGGCGGCUCCUCGGGUAUGACGUAGGCCGGCGCGGCCGUCUCGCGGCGGUACGCCUCCCUGACCACCUGGAUCUCGCGGGCCGUCUCCUCCCCGGACUGCGGGGGCGCUCCGCCGUUGCCGCUGCCGGCGCCGCCGCCAUUCUUGCCGCCGUUGCCGUUGCCGUUCUUGGGGACGGCCGCCUUCUCCUUGGCCGCCGCAGCAGCCGCCGCCUUCUCCUUGUCCUCCUUCUCCAGAGCCUCCCGCAUGCUGCUCCGAGGCUGCGGCAAUGGCUGCUGCUGCUCCGACAUUGCUCGCCCCGCCCUCUUCUCCCUCCUCCUUUAAGCGAGAGGGCUGCUGUGGUAGCUGGAGCUGGGAGGACUGAUAGGAGAGAGAGGGCGACGAGCUAUGCGGAGGAAGUGCAGUGGUUCUUUUGAGGCCUCUUGGGCUCUGUUCUCGCUUAGGUGAAAAGAGAGAGAGAGAGCAGCUAGCUAGCUCAGCUCUGGGGGUAGGCAAGUGUGGUGUGUGUCCAAAAGGUGGCGGAUUUGAAACCUGGGAUUGAACUGAGGUUUUGGGAGAGGGGUGGGGAGCUGGAGGAGUAGAGUGAGAGGAGAGAGGACUGCUGCUGCGCUGUGCUGGGGUUGGGAGCCGGAGGGAGGGAGUGGUGCUCUCGGCGUUCGGCCAAUGGAGAGGAGCUUUUAUGGGGGUGGGGUUCUCUGCUACGGGGACCAAGCCAGCGUGCACACAACUACACACUACACUAGUUGUUGGUGUUCAUGAGUUGGCCUUUGGUUGGUGUCCGUGCUUUUGGUUUGGCCCGAUGCCCCCCGCGCACACAAAAAAUGAUCUGUUCCUUUCCGGAUGACGCUCACAAGCGAGUCAAUAUGGAAAUCCAGGCCAUGCUGUUCUUUUGUGUGAAUCCAGCCAUGUAGCAUGUCACGAGCAUAAAUAGUAAGUAAGCAAUCCACAUACUUGACAAAACAUUCGUAUGAGAUAACCCAAAAGGUUUGGCGUUCUUGUACGCUCUAGAACGGUGACCACAGGGCAAGAUAACGGUCCCUUUGGUGGAAAAAAAUGAAGGGGAUUUUACGAGGAUAGAUUCCCUUAUUAUUCAAAAUUAAAUGGUAAGGGAUAGAUUUUCUUGACAAAACCUUAUUUUCCUGUCCACCAAACUAACCCUAAAAGUUUAGUUGGUAUUGUAGUUUUCGACCUCGCUUGGAAUAAGGUUUUGUUGUCAUAACCUUUUCCUUUCUACCCCGCCCUAAGUACCAUACAUGACGCAUAUAACAUCACAAAUUCUGCGAGAAAUACAGCAAAUUUUAGUACUGUUACCACAGCAGGGCGUACUGUCCUCGAGUGGGGUUGGGGACCUGUAGCAAGCAGUUCCUGGCAUGUGUGUAUCUGUGGUGGUGGGCCUUUGGAUACUCCCUAGCUCUCACAUUUCGCUUGCCGUGCUCUGCUCCCCAGCCGAGCCGUUGCAGCAGAGGUGG
RNAcentral lists this long non-coding RNA (6003 nucleotides) under Zea mays. RNAcentral's name for it is "long non-coding RNA (ZMAY_LNC003750)". The record is from RNAcentral. Lineage: Eukaryota; Viridiplantae; Streptophyta; Magnoliopsida; Poales; Poaceae.